GCCCGGGUGGCUCAGUCGGUUGAGCGUCCGACUUCGGCUCAGGUCAUGAUCUUGUGGUUCGUGGGUUCGAGCCCCGCGUCGGGCU
This 85-nucleotide transfer RNA is filed under the name Felis catus (domestic cat). It matches the Rfam family "tRNA". From Rfam's summary of the family: Transfer RNA (tRNA) molecules are approximately 80 nucleotides in length. Lineage: Eukaryota; Metazoa; Chordata; Mammalia; Carnivora; Felidae. The record is from Rfam by way of RNAcentral. RNAcentral also lists the same sequence under 2 other names.